UCCCUGGUAGUAUAUCGGUUAGUACACGCGCCUGUCAUACGGCAACCGCGAUUCCCUCGCGCGCGAAAGCUGGGUUCGACUCCCAGCCAGGGAG
Non-coding RNA from Paramarasmius palmivorus, 94 nucleotides. Lineage: Eukaryota; Fungi; Basidiomycota; Agaricomycetes; Agaricales; Marasmiaceae. The record is from the annotation of a GenBank genome assembly.